GUUGAGAUGGCCGAGUUGGUCUAAGGUGCGAGAUUAAGGUUCUGGUCCAAAAGGGCGUGGGUUCAAAUCCCACUCUCAACA
Nicotiana attenuata is the source of this 81-nucleotide non-coding RNA. The record is from Rfam. NCBI's taxonomy places the organism in Eukaryota, Viridiplantae, Streptophyta, Magnoliopsida, Solanales, Solanaceae.